CAUCACUACGCUAGAUGCAUAUCAAUAAGCGGAGGAAAAGAAACUAACAAGGAUUCCCCUUAGUAACGGCGAGUGAAGCGGGAAGAGCUCAAAUUUGAAAUCUUCAAGGGUUCUACCUUUACGAAUUGUAGUUUAAUAGAAGUGUUUUCUGUUAGUAGAGUGGCUAAAAGUUCUUUGGAAUAGGACAUCAUAGAGGGUGAGAAUCCCGUAUUUGGUCAGUUACUUUCUAGCUGUGUGAUACACUUUCAACGAGUCGGAUUGUUUGGGAAUGCAGUCCAAGAUGGGUGGUAAAUUUCAUCUAAAGCUAAAUAUUGGCGAGAGACCGAUAGCAAACAAGUACCGUGAGGGAAAGAUGAAAAGAACUUUGAAAAGAGAGUUAAACAGUACGUGAAAUUGUCAAAAGGGAAGCGUUUGUACACCAGUGUUGUUUAGUUCGAAAAUCAAUUACGAAUAGUUUUGAUUUUGAGUAGUUAUGACUUCAUCAGCUUGCUUCUCUCUUAUGAAACUUUCUUGAAUGCACUUUUCAGUUAACAAGUCAACAUCAACUUCCUUUGUUGUAAAAGGGUAUGAGGAAGGUGGCUUGCGCUUUCGGAUAAAGUGUUUAUAGCCUUGUAUCUCUGCAAUCGGAGAGAUUGAGGUCUGUAGCGUAGAUCCUUCGGGGUUAGAUACAUUGGUGCUAAGUUAUAGCUUGUCAUAGACAACUUGUAGACUAUGUUCAGUCUUGUAGCUUACUCGCUUACUGCUAUUUUACCUACGCUUAGGAUGUUGACACACGCGCGUGCUCG
This 785-nucleotide ribosomal RNA is filed under the name uncultured Neocallimastigales. RNAcentral's name for it is "partial large subunit ribosomal RNA". It matches the Rfam family "Eukaryotic large subunit ribosomal RNA", at positions 20 to 644 of the family's 3401-position model. Lineage: Eukaryota; Fungi; Neocallimastigomycota; Neocallimastigomycetes; Neocallimastigales. The record is from RNAcentral.